Molecule: ribosomal RNA, 312 nt
Filed under: Triticum aestivum (bread wheat)
Lineage: Eukaryota; Viridiplantae; Streptophyta; Magnoliopsida; Poales; Poaceae
Description: partial small subunit ribosomal RNA
Source: RNAcentral
AUGCGUAGCUUCAACCUGGCCAUGCUAUCUAGACAGGGCUGGCGUCUCCUCCAAAACCCAGAAAGCCUUUGCGCAAGAAUUCUAAAAGCUAGGUACUUUCCACAUUGUCACUUGUUGCAAGCAAAGCCAAAGGAGCGGAUAUCUUAUGCCUGGAGGAGUAUCCUACAAGGUAUCACCCUGAUUAAACAGGGAUACAUAUGGCGAAUCGGGGAUGGUGCAUCUGUAAACAUAUGGUCGGACCCAUGGAUACCAUGGGUAUGGUCACGACAGGGUCAUCACCCCAAAGGGUGCAAAUCUCCUAUCCCGGGUUAA